GACGAACGCUGGCGGCGUGCCUAAUACAUGCAAGUUGAGCGCUGAAGGUUGGUACUUGUACCAACUGGAUGAGCAGCGAACGGGUGAGUAACGCGUGGGGAAUCUGCCUUUGAGCGGGGGACAACAUUUGGAAACGAAUGCUAAUACCGCAUAAAAACUUUAAACACAAGUUUUAAGUUUGAAAGAUGCAAUUGCAUCACUCAAAGAUGAUCCCGCGUUGUAUUAGCUAGUUGGUGAGGUAAAGGCUCACCAAGGCGAUGAUACAUAGCCGACCUGAGAGGGUGAUCGGCCACAUUGGGACUGAGACGCGGCCCAAACGCCUACGGGAGGCAGCAGUAGGGAAUCUUCGGCAAUGGACGAAAGUCUGACCGAGCAACGCCGCGUGAGUGAAGAAGGUUUUCGGAUCGUAAAACUCUGUUGGUAGAGAAGAACGUUGGUGAGAGUGGAAAGCUCAUCAAGUGACGGUAACUACCCAGAAAGGGACGGCUAACUACGUG
RNAcentral lists this ribosomal RNA (497 nucleotides) under uncultured bacterium. Its description in RNAcentral is "partial 16S ribosomal RNA". It matches the Rfam family "Bacterial small subunit ribosomal RNA", at positions 28 to 507 of the family's 1533-position model. The record is from RNAcentral.